GUUGGAAGCCAGUUGUGGGGAUCAUUCGCAUGAUGCACCGGAGAAAUCUGGUCCUGCCUGGGACCUGGGCAGGGGCUGGAGCCACCCCAAAACCUCCAGAGGACUCCUCUGCCUAAAACAAGGCUCAGUUGGGACCAGGAGACCCGGAAGGAGGGGAAGCCUGGUGAGAGAGCAGGGAACUGAACUGAGAUGACUUAAUCCACCUUCUCAUUCAAGGAUGAGGGGGAGGAAAGGGAGGACGCAAAGUAAGAAAGAUAAGUUCCCACCCGCCCCUAGGGGAUUCCCAGACCCCAGCCCCUCCCCACGUUCUGAAGACCCGUCUCCGUCUCUGAGUUGGUUCUGUUGGGUGGCCCUGGAUUCCA
Long non-coding RNA from Cebus imitator (Panamanian white-faced capuchin), 362 nucleotides. RefSeq lists it as uncharacterized. The transcript has 3 exons. NCBI's taxonomy places the organism in Eukaryota, Metazoa, Chordata, Mammalia, Primates, Cebidae. The record is from RefSeq and is a predicted model, not a curated record.